RNAcentral lists this non-coding RNA (30 nucleotides) under Rattus norvegicus (Norway rat). Lineage: Eukaryota; Metazoa; Chordata; Mammalia; Rodentia; Muridae. The record is from RNAcentral.
UAGGACAGACGUGAUUAUUGCCAGUAGUGU